Molecule: non-coding RNA, 107 nt
Organism: Acanthosepion pharaonis
Lineage: Eukaryota; Metazoa; Mollusca; Cephalopoda; Sepiida; Sepiidae
Source: the annotation of a GenBank genome assembly
GGCUACAUCAUUUUGAAACCCCGGUUCCUAUAUGAUGACUGAAGUUAAGCAGCAUUGAGCCUGGUCGGUACUUAGAUGUGUGACCGCUUUGGAAUACCAAGUGCUAU